GUUGGUAAUUAAGUUGCUGAGCUGGAUUUACAAAUAAGCAAAUGCAGAAGAUUGAAGGGAAAAGUUGACAGUAAAGAAGGAGGAAAAAGAAGAAGCUGAAGAAAGUUGUUAUGUAAUGAUUAGUUAGUUGCAUUUCAGUUAUUUGUAACUAACUAAGAAAAGAAAAAAUAAUUAAAUGCUUUUCUGUAGGCCUAGCUGUUAAAGGCUGUAAAAAGAUCACACAAUACGUGUGUUCUCCCCAAAUCAGUUUAUAAGGGGCAUUUUGUCAAGCAUGUUGUGUGUGGAAAAUAUAUACAAGAAUUACCUUUUUCUGCAACUCUCUCCAUUCUUCAACCUUCUGUGCAAACCUUUUUCUCCUACUACCCAAAUCAACAAUCAACCUACAAAUCAUCAAAUAAACACAAUCAAACACAAGAUUAAAAACUUCAACAUGGUAUCAGAGCAGUAACUUGAUCAACAAGGGACUGAAAACAUAAAAUUCCAGAAAAGAUGGUGUCCAGUGGAGAUUUACGAACACCUCAGUUCAACGGUGUGAACUAUGACUUUUGGGCAGUGAAGAUGGAGACAAUCCUCAUAGCAUUUGAUCUAUGGGAUGUAGUUGAGUUUGGCAUGAAAUCAGGUUCAAGUGUGAAAGAAGAAGAAUCUGAGAAAGAAGAUAAGAAGAAUGAUGAAACCGAGAGCAAAGAUGGUGAAACUAAGAGCAGCAUAGCUGAAGAAGCUGUUUUCAGAGAAAACAAAAUAAGAAAUGCCAAGGCAUUGAGCCUCAUCCAAGGAGCCGUGACUGAUGAACUUUUUCCUAGAAUAAGGAAUGAGAAUACUGCACAAGGAGCAUGGAAUGUGCUGAAAAGAGAGUAUAGAGGUGAUAAGAAAGUGAGGUCUGUGAAAUUGCAAGCUGUGAGGGCAGAGUUUGAAUACAUGAGAAUGUCAGAAGGAGAAGGCUUAGAACACUAUCUUUCUAAGUUUUUUGAAGCUAUAAACAGUCUGAAAUCUCUAGGAGAAGAUGUACCUGAGAUUAGGAUUGUGCAGAAGCUCCUAAUGAGUUUAAAUAGGAGAUACAAGUCCAUUGUCUCUAUCAUUGAAGAGACAAGGGACCUUGAUGUGCUGAAGGUGGAAGAAGUUAUAGCCUCUGUCAAAGUAUUUGACAAGAGGGAAGACCUGCAUGAUGAACAAGAUAAGAUUACAAGAACUGAAAAGGCAUUUAGUAGUCUCAAAAUGGGCUAUAAUCAUGCUGCAAACAAGGCUAUGCAGGGGAGAUCUAGUCCAAGAUGGCAGGGACAUGAUCAAAGGCAUGUGGGCUGGUCUCAAGCAAGAAAUGUGAAUAAUCAUCACAAUUUCAGUCACAACACAAACUGGAAUAACAGAACUGGAAGUAGCAGCAGCAGUUCACAGCACAGAGGUAGAGGUAAUCAAACAAACACAAAGCCUCAAUGUUCUGUAUGUCAAAAAUUUCAUUUCGGAAUAUGUAGAUAUAAGGGGAAGCCUAAGUGUGGGAAAUGCAGUCGGUUUGGACAUUAUUCCAAAGACUGUGACAGCAACAAGCAGCUAGCUAAUAGUGCAAAGGAGGAAGAUGUGUGCACAAGCACUAUGUUUUAUGCAUGUCAUGCUGCCAGCAUAAAGAAUGAAGAUGUGUGGUUCAUUGAUAGUGCAUGUAGUAAUCAUAUGACCUCUCAAGAGGAGAAUUUAAUUGAUGUUGAUAGAAGUAUCACUUGCAAGGUGAAAAUGGGUUCAGGAGAUUUGGUUCAAUCCACUGGAAAAGGAACAUUAGUUGUUGAAACCAAAAAGGGCAGAAGAUACAUAAAUGAGGUGCUGUUAGUCCCAGGUUUGGAUGAGAAUCUACUUAGUGUAGGUCAAAUGAUGGAACAUGGUUACUACAUCUUGUUUGGGGGCAAUAAGGCAGUAAUAUUUGAUGAUGAGAAACUAGAGAAUGUGCUUGCAAAAGUAAUAAUGAAGGGGAAUAGAUGUUUUCCCCUUGCACUGGAAUCUUUAACUCCUGCAGCUAUGAAAGCAUCAGUUAAUGAAGAUUCUUGGACAUGGCAUAGAAGGCUUGGCCAUUUAAAUUUUGCAAGUAUGAAGAAGAUGAAACAGGAAGAGAUUGUGUAUGGCUUACCUGUGAUAGCAGAUUCAAGGAAUGUGUGUGAAGGCUGUGUAAAAGGGAAGCAUCACCGAGAGAAAUUUGAUCAAGGGGAAGCAUGGAGAGCCAAACAUCCACUGGAACUUGUGCAUACUGACCUCUGUGGACCAAUGCAGGCAGAAUCAAUUGGUGGGAAUAGGUACUUUCUUACCUUUAUUGAUGACUACUCUAGAAUGUGUUGGGUAUAUUUCCUCCGAAAUAAAUCUGACACAUUAAGUGUUUUCAAGAAAUUUAAAAUACUUGUUGAGACACAAAGUGGCUACUCUCUAAAAAAAUUGAGAAGUGAUAGAGGAGGAGAAUAUACCUCCUAUGAAUUUCAGAAUUAUUGUGCAAGUCUGGGUGUGGAGAGGCAGCUCACAGUAGCAUAUUCUCCUCAGCAGAAUGGAGUGGCUGAGAGGAGAAAUAGGACCAUAGGAGAAAUGGCAAGAUCAAUGUUGAUUGAGAAAGGAAUACCCACUGAAUUCUGGGGAGAGGCAGUGAAUAUUGCUGUGUAUCUUCAAAAUAGGUGUGUUACAUCAGCUGUGGAGGGUAAGACACCAUUUGAAGCCUUCACGGGAAGGAAGCCUGGAAUUAAACACUUAAGGGUGUUUGGGUGUGUAUGUUACACACUCAUUCCAGCAGCACUAAGACAGAAACUGGACAGUAAGGCAGAGAAGGGAGUGUUUAUGGGUUAUGGAAGUUGUGAGAAAGGAUAUCGGGUGUAUAUUCUGGAUUCAAAGAAGAUAGUGCUGUCAAGAAGUGUUGUUUUUUAUGAGAGCAGGUUCUGGAAUUGGACUGAAAAUCACAUGGAAUCAGUCACACAGCAACUAAGGUUUGAAUGCAACAAAGAAGAGAGUGAAGUAGAAGAAACAAAUGUAGAUGUUGCACAGAAUUAUGAUGGCAUUGAUCAGUUAAGCUCACCUGCAAAUGGUUCAGUGACAGAAUCAGUUGAGAAUAUCAGUCAAGGAUCAUCACCUAGUUCAACUCCAGUGAAGUUAAGGAGCAUUGAAGACAUUUAUAAUAGAUGUCACAUGAGCUUCAUUGAACCAGAAAAUUAUCAAGAAGCAGCAAAGAGUAAAGACUGGCAGGAUGCAAUGAGAACUGAAUUAGAGAUGAUAGAGAAGAAUCAUACCUGGGAGCUGAUUGACAGACCUUCUGAUGCGCCUGUGAUAGGUGUGAAAUGGGUCUUCAAGACAAAGCUCAAUCUUGAUGGGUCCAUACACAAGCAUAAGGCUAGACUUGUAGCCAAGGGAUAUGCUCAAAAACCAGGGGUGGAUUACAAUGAGACUUUUGCUCCAGUAGCAAGGUUGGAUACUAUAAGGACUCUCAUUGCGUUGGCAGCUCAAAAGGGUUGGAAAUUAUUCCAACUAGAUGUUAAGUCAGCAUUUCUAAAUGGAAUGCUUGACGAGGAGGUGUAUGUGGAGCAACCCGAGGGGUUUGAAGUGAAGGGGUCCAGCCACAAGGUGUAUAAACUAUACAAGGCUCUAUAUGGACUUAAACAAGCCCCUAGAGCCUGGUAUGGUGAAAUCGAUGCUUAUCUUACAAGUUGCAAAUUUGAAAGGAGUGCAAGUGAAGCAACUUUGUACACCAGAAGUGAUAGUGAAGGAGGCCAGAUCAUUAUCUCAAUAUAUGUUGAUGAUAUAGUGUAUACUGGAAGUAGUGAAAGGAUGAUGACUGAGUUUAAGAGGGAGAUGAUGCAGAGGUAUGAAAUGUCAGACCUAGGGCUUCUUCAUCACUUUCUAGGGAUUGGUGUAUUGCAGACCAAUCAAGGAGUUUUUAUUCACCAAAGUAAGUAUGCUAAGUCUCUACUUACUAAGUUCGGACUUGAGGACUGCAAUCCAGUUGCAAUUCCUCUAACCGUGGGUGAAAAAUUAAAGAAGGAGGAUGGCAGUGAACCUGCAGAUGAAGGGUUGUAUAGAAGGAUAGUGGGAAGCUUGCUGUAUUUAACAGCAACAAGGCCAGACCUAAUGUAUUCAGCAAGCUUACUAUCAAGAUUCAUGAGUUGCCCUACAAAGAAACAUAUGGGGAUUGCUAGAAGGGUAUUGAGAUAUGUUCAAGGUACCCUAGACUAUGGGAUUGAGUACACAAGAGGCAAAUCAGCUACUCUAAUCGGUUAUUGUGAUGCUGAUUGGGGGGGCAGUGAGGAUGAUAGCAGGAGUACCUCAGGCUAUGCUUUUAGCUUUGGAAGUGGUGUGUUCUCUUGGGCUUCUGUAAAACAGAGCACAGUGGCUCUGUCAACAGCAGAAGCUGAGUAUGUCUCAGCUUCUGAAGCCACGGCACAAGCCAUUUGGCUUAGGUUGGUGCUUGAAGAUUUUGGAGAGAUGCAGGCUGAGGCAACUCCAUUGUAUUGUGACAACAUGUCAGCAAUAUCGAUGGCCAAAAAUCCUGUUUUCCAUCAGAAAACAAGACACAUAAACAGGAGAUAUCACUUUAUCAGGGAAUCUUUGAAAGAAGGGUUGAUCAACAUGCAAUUCUGUAGGGGUGAGGACCAGUUGGCUGAUAUAUUCACCAAGGCUCUACCUAAAGACAGAUUCAACUAUCUAAGACUGACUCUUGGGGUUAAACCAGUCAGCAACUUAGGAGAGGCUGUUGGUAAUUAAGUUGCUGAGCUGGAUUUACAAAUAAGCAAAUGCAGAAGAUUGAAGGGAAAAGUUGACAGUAAAGAAGGAGGAAAAAGAAGAAGCUGAAGAAAGUUGUUAUGUAAUGAUUAGUUAGUUGCAUUUCAGUUAUUUGUAACUAACUAAGAAAAGAAAAAAUAAUUAAAUGCUUUUCUGUAGGCCUAGCUGUUAAAGGCUGUAAAAAGAUCACACAAUACGUGUGUUCUCCCCAAAUCAGUUUAUAAGGGGCAUUUUGUCAAGCAUGUUGUGUGUGGAAAAUAUAUACAAGAAUUACCUUUUUCUGCAACUCUCUCCAUUCUUCAACCUUCUGUGCAAACCUUUUUCUCCUACUACCCAAAUCAACAAUCAACCUACAAAUCAUCAAAUAAACACAAUCAAACACAAGAUUAAAAACUUCAACAU
This 5130-nucleotide long non-coding RNA is filed under the name Populus trichocarpa (black cottonwood). Its description in RNAcentral is "long non-coding RNA (PTRI_LNC003578)". Lineage: Eukaryota; Viridiplantae; Streptophyta; Magnoliopsida; Malpighiales; Salicaceae. The record is from RNAcentral.